CCUACGGGUGGCAGCAGUGAGGAAUAUUGGUCAAUGGGCGAGAGCCUGAACCAGCCAAGUCGCGUGAAGGAUGAAGGAUCUAUGGUUUGUAAACUUCUUUUGUACGAGGGUAAAUCCCGAUACGUGUAUCGGGUUGAAAGUAUCGUACGAAUAAGGAUCGGCUAACUCCGUGCCAGCAGCCGCGGUAAUACGGAGGAUUCAAGCGUUAUCCGGAUUUAUUGGGUUUAAAGGGUGCGUAGGCGGUUCGAUAAGUUAGAGGUGAAAUCCCGGGGCUCAACUCCGGCACUGCCUCUGAUACUGUCGGGCUAGAGUUUAGUUGCGGUAGGCGGAAUGUAUGGUGUAGCGGUGAAAUGCAUAGAGAUCAUACAGAACACCGAUUGCGAAGGCAGCUUACCAAACUACGACUGACGUUGAGGCACGAAAGCGUGGGGAGCAAACAGGAUUAGAUACCCCUGUAGUC
RNAcentral lists this ribosomal RNA (460 nucleotides) under uncultured bacterium. RNAcentral describes it as "partial 16S ribosomal RNA". It matches the Rfam family "Bacterial small subunit ribosomal RNA", at positions 338 to 795 of the family's 1533-position model. The record is from RNAcentral.